ACAAAUCAAGUGUCGGGAAUUCCGUGGCGCUAGUAAGUCUCUUGUUCUUCUUGUUGUUGCUCAUUUUUGUGUCGUUCCAGCUCGUGUGGGAGGUUAUUUUAAAGGGUUUACGUUCUGUAAAUACUCCCUCAUGUUCUUAAUAUCAAUCCUAGGUGAUUUCAAGCCUUCUAAAGUGGUUCUAGUGCCGAAAAACACUAAUUGAUCGCUAGUUUCGCUUUUUUGUUGUUGUGGCAGCAUUGGAGGGAUAUUUCAUGGAAAUUUAAGGUCAAAUUGGAGUUGUUCUUUCUGUAUAAAGACUAAGGAGUUUUGACAAUUGCAUAGCUUGAGAUUGGGGCAGUAUAUACAAGGUAUGUAAGGCUAUCCCUUUCCUUCUUUUGCACGACUCCGAUUGUACAUAAUGUAAUGAACGAGCUUCCAA
Molecule: long non-coding RNA, 418 nt
Filed under: Nicotiana tabacum (common tobacco)
Lineage: Eukaryota; Viridiplantae; Streptophyta; Magnoliopsida; Solanales; Solanaceae
Description: long non-coding RNA (NTAB_LNC002407)
Source: RNAcentral